UUGCUUUGGUAGCACAUAUACUAAAAUUUGAAUGAUACAGAGAAGAUUAGCAUGGCCCCUGAGAAAGGAUGACAUGCAAAUUCAUCAAGCGUUCCAUAUUUAU
RNAcentral lists this small nuclear RNA (103 nucleotides) under Inia geoffrensis (Amazon river dolphin). RNAcentral also lists the same sequence under 2 other names. The record is from RNAcentral. Lineage: Eukaryota; Metazoa; Chordata; Mammalia; Artiodactyla; Iniidae.